UGUCUUUUUCCGCUUACUGCCGGUGGCAUUUGAAAUUCUCGACAGCAAACCGAAAAAGGCGCC
This 63-nucleotide microRNA precursor is filed under the name Aedes aegypti (yellow fever mosquito). Its description in RNAcentral is "Aae-Mir-316_pre stem-loop". Lineage: Eukaryota; Metazoa; Arthropoda; Insecta; Diptera; Culicidae. The record is from RNAcentral.